CACGAUGUCAGAGUUCAUGUUGGUUUUUUUGGAGGGUGGAGGUUUGCACGGAGUGACCGGGGAAUUCGUCAUCUUCAACAGCAUUCGAAAGCAUGAUAUUGUCCAUAGGUUUGGCACGGAGCUCGGUAAAAAAGCAUCUGUUCAAGCCGCCAUCUUGGCACCUGUCCUCAAUUGCAUGGUUUUCCGAGUCGUAGUGGGAGGACAACACACAUCAUAUCAUUGUGAUUCCAAGUUUACUUCGAUAUGCCCAGACACAGAGCCACCAGACAGAGACACCCCAACCUGCCCAGGAUAUUGAAGGAACCUUGAGACAGAUCAUUCAGAUGAACAGUCGGGAGAGGAAAGAACUACAGAGCACAAAGACAAGAAAGGAAAGGGAAGAUACGUAGUCAG
Molecule: long non-coding RNA, 393 nt
Organism: Oncorhynchus kisutch (coho salmon)
Lineage: Eukaryota; Metazoa; Chordata; Actinopteri; Salmoniformes; Salmonidae
Exons: 4
Source: RefSeq, a predicted model, not a curated record